GACGAACGCUGGCGGCGUGCUUAACACAUGCAAGUCGAACGGUAAGGCCCUUCGGGGUACACGAGUGGCGAACGGGUGAGUAACACGUGGGCAACCUGCCCCUAACUUUGGGAUAACUACUCGAAAGAGUAGCUAAUACCGGAUAUGAAGUCUGUAGGCAUCUAUGGAUUUGGAACGUUUUUCGGUUAGGGAUGGGCCCGCGGCCUAUCAGCUUGUUGGUGAGGUAGUGGCUCACCAAGGCGACGACGGGUAGCCGGCCUGAGAGGGCGACCGGCCACACUGGGACUGAGACACGGCCCAGACUCCUACGGGAGGCAGCAGUGGGGAAUAUUGCGCAAUGGGCGAAAGCCUGACGCAGCAACGCCGCGUGCGGGAUGAAGGCCUUCGGGUUGUAAACCGCUUUCAGCGGGGAAGAAGCGAAAGUGACGGUACCUGCAGAAGAAGCACCGGCUAACUACGUGCCAGCCGCCGCCGUAA
This 477-nucleotide ribosomal RNA is filed under the name uncultured bacterium. RNAcentral describes it as "partial 16S ribosomal RNA". It matches the Rfam family "Bacterial small subunit ribosomal RNA", at positions 28 to 523 of the family's 1533-position model. The record is from RNAcentral.